GAACGUGUGCGGGAGGAAGAUUCUCGCGGCGCCGGGCGCUGGGCUCCCGCCAAGGGCGCUCCGGAAAGCCUCCCCCUGUGCUGGGCGCAGAGCUGGGCCGCGCCGCCAGCGGCUGGGGGCUGGCUGGUUAAUCUGUAACUCCCUACACCCCUCGGAGCCUCCAGGCCCCACUUUAUGGAGGAGAAGGGCCACCAGCUCCUCAUCGAGGUCCAGGGGAGGGGCCCAGGGCUGGAGCAAAGGCACACAUCUGCUGCCACUGGGGGACCUCAGCAGGCUGCCUCCUCUCGGAGCCUCGGGCUCCUCUGCAAAAUGGGCAUCAAAACGCCUCCCUCUGCGGGUUCUUGGAAGGAUUAAAUGAGGCAAAGAGCCCAGCCCUGGUGCAGGGUAGGCUGGAGACGG
Manis pentadactyla (Chinese pangolin) is the source of this 399-nucleotide long non-coding RNA. RefSeq lists it as uncharacterized. The record is from RefSeq and is a predicted model, not a curated record. Lineage: Eukaryota; Metazoa; Chordata; Mammalia; Pholidota; Manidae. The transcript is spliced from 2 exons.